This 450-nucleotide ribosomal RNA is filed under the name uncultured bacterium. RNAcentral's name for it is "bacterial SSU rRNA". It matches the Rfam family "Bacterial small subunit ribosomal RNA", at positions 45 to 522 of the family's 1533-position model. The record is from RNAcentral.
GGCCUAACACAUGCAAGUCGAGCGCCUGUAGCAAUACAGGAGCGGCAGACGGGAGAGUAACACGUGGGAACGUACCUUUCAGUUCGGAACAACCAAGGGAAACUUUGGCUAAUACCGAAUACGCCCUUACGGGGAAAGAUUUAUCGCUGAAAGAUCGGCCCGCGUCUGAUUAGCUUGUUGGUGAGGUAAUGGCUCACCAAGGCGACGAUCAGUAGCUGGUCUGAGAGGAUGAUCAGCCUCACUGGGACUGAGACACGGCCCAGACUCCUACGGGAGGCAGCAGUGGGGAAUAUUGGACAAUGGGCGCAAGCCUGAUCCAGCCAUGCCGCGUGGAUGAUGAAGGCCCUAGGGUUGUAAACCCCUGUUGCCCGGGACGAACUUCUGGUUUCGACCAGAUUGACGGUACCGGGUGAGGAAGCACCGGCUAACUCUGUGCCAGCAGCCGCGGUA